Molecule: long non-coding RNA, 282 nt
Organism: Diceros bicornis minor
Lineage: Eukaryota; Metazoa; Chordata; Mammalia; Perissodactyla; Rhinocerotidae
Exons: 3
Source: RefSeq, a predicted model, not a curated record
CCUGGGUAGAACCUCCACCCUCUGAGUAGGGACCUCAGAGAGAAAGGGAGCCCUCAAUGUCUCAGCUGCACUGACCGUAAAUUCAGCCUCUGCAACUCAGAGUUGGAAGCCUCCAGUCAAAUACUGAAUGUCUAUUAUGAGGAUGGACCAGCAGGCCUAUUUUACAGAUGAAUCAAAGACGGGUCAGCAAAUCUCAGAAACAGAAAAGGAAACCAAUACAAGGCAGAAGUUGCUCCAGUUAAUACGAAGAAUUCAAGGUGUCCAGCUUCCUGUCACGGCCCC